This 165-nucleotide ribosomal RNA is filed under the name uncultured soil bacterium. Its description in RNAcentral is "partial 16S ribosomal RNA". It matches the Rfam family "Bacterial small subunit ribosomal RNA", at positions 329 to 505 of the family's 1533-position model. The record is from RNAcentral.
GCCCAGACUCCUACGGGUAGGCAGCAGUGGGGAAUAUUGCACAAUGGGCGAAAGCCUGAUGCAGCGACGCCGCGUGAGGGAUGAAGGCCUUAUGGUUGUAAACCUCUUUCAGCGGGGACGAAGCGAAAGUGACGGUACCUGCAGAAGAAGCACCGGCUAACUACG